This is a long non-coding RNA of Erinaceus europaeus (western European hedgehog), 798 nucleotides long. RefSeq lists it as uncharacterized. Lineage: Eukaryota; Metazoa; Chordata; Mammalia; Eulipotyphla; Erinaceidae. The record is from RefSeq and is a predicted model, not a curated record. The transcript is spliced from 2 exons.
GACACCUGCAGACCUGCUUCACCGCUUGUGAAGUGACUCCCCUGCAGGUGGGGAGCCAGGACUCGAACCCGGACCCUUACACCGGUCCUUGCGCUUUGUGCUACCUGUGCUUAAUCCGCUGCGCUACAGUCCGACUCCCAGAAUAUACAUGUUUAAAUGUAUACACUAGAGAAUGCAGAAAUUCAGAUAUAUAAGAAGAAUGUCAGCACUCCAAGUGUGUCUAGAUCAUACCUGAUACAUAGAAAGUUUCUAUAAAUGUCUAUAGGAUAAACAAAUAAAAAGGUAUCAGACUUUCACACCACUGGGUACAGCAGGUUGUCAUGAAAAUAUCCACACCUAUUUAUUAGAUAUUUUCUGUAGCAUAACAAGCAUGUACAUCAUACUCAAGGCUUGACUUACUAUUAUUUUGCUGAGAGCUCAUUCAUUUUCAUUGCAGAAGGAUUCAGUUAUCUUGGAACAUGAUCUUUAGGACAGAAAUAUAUUGCUUAUAGGCAUCUGGUCAUAUGGAAACUGUAAAUUGUGCAGCCUCUCCAUUUUUAGUCAACCUAGGUCAGAGUUUAAUGAACCAUGCAUUUCCUUCUACUAUUACUAAUGAGAGAAGGAACCAAAGCAUCAUCCUGGCACAUGCAACGGUAGGAAUUGAAUUCAGGACCUCAGAUUUGAGAGCCCAAGGUCCUGUGCCACUCUGCCAACCCCCUUACUCUUUCAUCACAGUCCAUCUUCCUGUAAAUCACCUCAGAAACUAUAUGUGAAUCACAAUGAAAGAAAAUUCUGCUAGUUAAUCACCUAUAUAAUAUA